This 253-nucleotide ribosomal RNA is filed under the name uncultured bacterium. RNAcentral describes it as "partial 16S ribosomal RNA". It matches the Rfam family "Bacterial small subunit ribosomal RNA", at positions 524 to 776 of the family's 1533-position model. The record is from RNAcentral.
UACGUAGGGUGCUAGCGUUAAUCGGAAUUACUGGGCGUAAAGCGUGCGCAGGCGGUUUUGUAAGCCAGAUGUGAAAUCCCCGGGCUUAACCUGGGAAUGGCAUUUGGGACUGCAAGGCUUGAGUGCGGCAGAGGAGACUGGAAUUCCUGGUGUAGCAGUGAAAUGCGUAGAUAUCAGGAGGAAUACCGAUGGCGAAGGCAGGUCUCUGGGCUGACACUGACGCUCAUGCACGAAAGCGUGGGGAGCAAACAGG